Molecule: long non-coding RNA, 421 nt
Organism: Wyeomyia smithii (pitcher-plant mosquito)
Lineage: Eukaryota; Metazoa; Arthropoda; Insecta; Diptera; Culicidae
Exons: 3
Source: RefSeq, a predicted model, not a curated record
AGAAAAACAUAAACAAAGUUUUCGCUAUAUUAAGCUAACGUGAUUUAAUCAACUAUUAAUUAUUAACUUUCGGAAUAAUAAUAGGUGUUAGGAGUGAAGAGGUGAAAAUUUCGGUGAUCCUAGUUGGUCUCGACACCUGUUCGUAGCACACUUUAACCGAAGAACCGGAUCGGACCGUAGUAGUAAAUAGGAUAAAUACCCUUUGAUUGAGGACUAUUGAAACACUGCGAUUGACCAUCCAGAGUAGUACCGUAACGUCACGUAGACUGGUACGGUGAUUGAUUGUGAGUAUCUGUAAAGAGAAGAAAUAAACAAGUAAAAUUAAUAGUCAAUGCGUUAAAUGAUAAUAAAAAUAACCGGAAACGGAGUAUACAGUAGAAAGAGUUCAGGAAGGACAAGUAUCGUAAGGAAGGAGGAGACU